Molecule: ribosomal RNA, 470 nt
Filed under: uncultured organism
Description: partial 16S ribosomal RNA
Rfam family: Bacterial small subunit ribosomal RNA
Source: RNAcentral
ACUCCUGCGGGAGGCAGCAGUGGGGAAUUUUGGACAAUGGGCGAAAGCCUGAUCCAGCAAUGCCGCGUGUGUGAAGAAGGCCUUCGGGUUGUAAAGCACUUUUGUCCGGAAAGAAAUCCUUGGCUCUAAUACAGUCGGGGGAUGACGGUACCGGAAGAAUAAGCACCGGCUAACUACGUGCCAGCAGCCGCGGUAAUACGUAGGGUGCGAGCGUUAAUCGGAAUUACUGGGCGUAAAGCGUGCGCAGGCGGUUUGCUAAGACCGAUGUGAAAUCCCCGGGCUCAACCUGGGAACUGCAUUGGUGACUGGCAGGCUAGAGUAUGGCAGAGGGGGGUAGAAUUCCACGUGUAGCAGUGAAAUGCGUAGAGAUGUGGAGGAAUACCGAUGGCGAAGGCAGCCCCCUGGGCCAAUACUGACGCUCAUGCACGAAAGCGUGGGGAGCAAACAGGAUUAGAUACCCCAGUAGUCCC